This 825-nucleotide ribosomal RNA is filed under the name Sphaerulina aceris. RNAcentral describes it as "eukaryotic LSU rRNA". It matches the Rfam family "Eukaryotic large subunit ribosomal RNA", at positions 71 to 925 of the family's 3401-position model. The record is from RNAcentral. Lineage: Eukaryota; Fungi; Ascomycota; Dothideomycetes; Mycosphaerellales; Mycosphaerellaceae.
GGGAUUGCCCUAGUAACGGCGAGUGAAGCGGCAACAGCUCAAAUUUGAAAUCUGGCGCAAGCCCGAGUUGUAAUUUGUAGAGGAUGCUUCUGGGUAGCGACCGGUCUAAGUUCCUUGGAACAGGACGUCAUAGAGGGUGAGAAUCCCGUAUGUGACCGGCCCGCACCCUUUACGUAGCUCCUUCGACGAGUCGAGUUGUUUGGGAAUGCAGCUCUAAAUGGGAGGUAAAUUUCUUCUAAAGCUAAAUACCGGCCAGAGACCGAUAGCGCACAAGUAGAGUGAUCGAAAGAUGAAAAGUACUUUGGAAAGAGAGUUAAAAAGCACGUGAAAUUGUUGAAAGGGAAGCGCCUGCAAUCAGACUUCGCGGCAGUGUUCCGCCGGUCUUCUGACCGGUUCAUUCUCUGUCGCGAGGCCAUCAUCGUCUCGGCCCGCUGGAUAAGACCUUGGGAAUGUAGCUCACCUUCGGGGGAGUGUUAUAGCUUAGGGUGAUGCAGCGCGGCUGGGGCGAGGUCCGCGCUUCGGCAAGGAUGAUGGCGUAAUGGUUGUCGGCGGCCCGUCUUGAAACACGGACCAAGGAGUCUAACAUCUAUGCGAGUGUUCGGGUGUCAAACCCCUACGCGUAAUGAAAGUGAACGGAGGUGGGAACCGCAAGGUGCACCAUCGACCGAUCCUGAUGUCCUCGGAUGGAUUUGAGUAAGAGCAUAGCUGUUGGGACCCGAAAGAUGGUGAACUAUGCCUGAAUAGGGUGAAGCCAGAGGAAACUCUGGUGGAGGCUCGCAGCGGUUCUGACGUGCAAAUCGAUCGUCAAAUUUGGGUAUAGGGGCG